Molecule: ribosomal RNA, 217 nt
Filed under: Escherichia coli
Lineage: Bacteria; Pseudomonadati; Pseudomonadota; Gammaproteobacteria; Enterobacterales; Enterobacteriaceae
Description: partial 16S ribosomal RNA
Rfam family: Bacterial small subunit ribosomal RNA
Source: RNAcentral
AAAUUGAAGAGUUUGAUCAUGGCUCAGAUUGAACGCUGGCGGCAGGCCUAACACAUGCAAGUCGAACGGUAACAGGAAGCAGCUUGCUGCUUUGCUGACGAGUGGCGGACGGGUGAGUAAUGUCUGGGAAACUGCCUGGUGGAGGGGGAUAACUACUGGAAACGGUAGCUAAUACCGCAUAACGUCGCAAGACCAAAGAGGGGGACCUUCGGGCCUC